This 493-nucleotide ribosomal RNA is filed under the name uncultured bacterium. RNAcentral's name for it is "bacterial SSU rRNA". It matches the Rfam family "Bacterial small subunit ribosomal RNA", at positions 28 to 523 of the family's 1533-position model. The record is from RNAcentral.
GAUGAACGCUAGCGGCAGGCCUAAUACAUGCAAGUCGAACGCUCAGUAGCAAUACUGGGAGUGGCGCACGGGUGCGUAACGCGUACACAAUCUACCUCUAAGCGGGGGACACCUCCUGGAAACGGGGAUUAAUACCGCAUAAUAUGCCGAAGUCGCAUGACUUUGGUAUUAAAGCAGCAAUGCACUUAGAGAUGAGUGUGCGUCCCAUUAGGUAGUUGGUGAGGUAACGGCUCACCAAGCCUAUGAUGGGUAGCCGGUCUGAGAGGAUGGUCGGCCACACGGGCACUGAGACACGGGCCCGACUCCUACGGGAGGCAGCAGUAAGGAAUAUUGGUCAAUGGUGGAAACACUGAACCAGCCAUGCCGCGUGGAGGAAUAAGGUCCUACGGAUUGUAAACUCCUUUUGACGAGGAAGAAAAGUGUUAGAUUUAUCUAAUUUUGACGGUACUCGUAGAAUAAGCACCGGCUAACUCCGUGCCAGCAGCCGCGGUAA